AUGAAAAAAGAGCAUGGUGGCCUAGGAGUCCCAAACAUAAGAGAUGUUAAUCUCUGUCUCUUGGGGAGCUGGAUUAAGAGAUACAUUAAGGAUGAGGGGAAGAUAUGGAGAUAUAUUGUAGAUGCUAAAUAUCUCAAUAACUCCCCAAACAUCUUUGCAUGCAGCUCCCAACAAACCUCUAGGUUUUGGAAGGGUGUUAUGUGGGCAGCCAAAGCCCUGAAAUUUGGAUAUAGGUGGGUAGUUGGUAAUAGAAAGAAGAUCAGGUUUUGGGAGGAUAUUUGGUUUGGUACCUCUCCUUUAUCUGUUCAAUUCUGGCCCUUAUAUACUAUCUGUCAUCAACAUGGGGUGACCCUUGCUAAAAUUUGGGAUCAAAAUACUAUAAAACUGACUUUCAGAAGGAUCUUUACCCCCACCAUGAUGGAAAGCUGGUAUUGUCUUGAGCAAAUUAUUACUAGCACCAUUUAUUCAGCGGGGGAAGACUCUCUAAUUUGGCAGCAUGAAUCCAAGGGGGAGUACACAACUGGAUCCCUGUAUAGUAUAAUUAACUUUAGAGGAGUGCAACCAGUUUACAUCCCCUCUGUUUUGUCUGUUAAUGUUCCCCAUAGAGUGCAGGUGUUUCUGUGGCUUCUCUCUCACAAUAAGCUCAUGACUAGAGAUACCCUCUCUAAAAGAGGCAUUGAAAGAUCUCUGGAAUGUGUUUAUUGCUCUGAGAAAGAAUCUAUACAUCACCUUUUUUUGACUGUAUUAUUGCAAAACAGAUGUGGAGUCCUGUUUUAG
RNAcentral lists this ribosomal RNA (777 nucleotides) under Triticum aestivum (bread wheat). RNAcentral describes it as "partial small subunit ribosomal RNA". The record is from RNAcentral. Lineage: Eukaryota; Viridiplantae; Streptophyta; Magnoliopsida; Poales; Poaceae.